Long non-coding RNA from Papaver somniferum (opium poppy), 1852 nucleotides. RefSeq lists it as uncharacterized. The transcript has 4 exons. NCBI's taxonomy places the organism in Eukaryota, Viridiplantae, Streptophyta, Magnoliopsida, Ranunculales, Papaveraceae. The record is from RefSeq and is a predicted model, not a curated record.
CAUUCAUUGGAUGCUCAUACUUCCUAUCAAGCUACAAAGAGCAAGUUAUAGCUUAUCUGGAGGCUAAAAACCCGAGUGUCGUAAUUUAGCUCAAGAGGAGUCCAUUUUGAUGGGAAAUGACCCAAAGAUUGAGACAUGUUGAUCUACAGAUCCACAUGGUCACCAGAAUUUAGCCAAAUUCCAUCGUUUAGGGCCUCAAAUGGCCAUUUUUAUCGUUUUAGGAAAGUGUUUGUUUUCUUAAUAAACCCUUCGCGGAUCAAGGGUAAGUUGGAACGGUGUGGAAGCUAAGUUAGCUGCAUCAUGCUCCACGAGCAUGCUUGGAAGGACAAAUGGACGUGCAUUUAUCGAUAUUUUAGGCCCGGAUCGUAACUUCAUCAUGGCGCAUCGGGAAAGUUACGGCGUGCGGGGCAACGCGCCAAAGGCGUAAUUUUCCGGUCCGUCACAUUAAUAGUCAUUGACCUGAUAUGUGUGUUACUUUGUUUGAGCACCAAUCCCUCCAUCCUUGCAUGAAUCUUACUGUGUUUCUUUUCCAUUACUGUUUAAAUGUUUUUGGGGUUAUUGGAAUAAGGAGGCUGCUUUAGUUGCUUCUGUCCUUUCUCGACGUUCACAACCUUAAGUCCCUCCUUUAAUAAGACUAAUGCAUAUUAGUAGUUAGGCUUACACUGUGUUUAUUUUUGUUUUUAGUUUUUACGUUCAUCAUGCUUGAUAUAAUUCCUGAAUGAGAAGGUUAUUUCCAUAGGUAGUAAUGGCUCUCUAUUCAAUUUCGUAUCCUUAGUUUAUCAUCUUGGCAUAUAAGCAUAUUAGGCAUUCAGCAUCAGGGAACAAAAUUUUGGCAUAUAAGCAUUGGCCUCUUGAAUCUUUUGACCCAGGUACAAAUUGGAGCCUGAAUCCAUUCCUAUUGAUUCGAAUACUAUUAGUACUAAUGUCUUCUUACAGAAAAUGCAGCUGGCUAAAACAAGAAAAUUUUGCUUUGAAUGCGUCGUCAUUGAUCAUGACCCUGAAGAUAACCUAGAUAAGGAUUUUAAUGGAGCUAGUAAAGGAAGUAGAAAUUCACUUGCUAUGAGUAGAGUGGAGAAAAGCGAACAAAUAGAGAUUUGGUAUAAAAUUCAAGACAGAGAAGGUAUGGGUGGUAAUAAUGUUCAGACUUCAGAGUAACGUUUCUACCAAUAGGAGGGGUUCAAUUGCUGCUGCUAUUGUGGAUGUAGCUGCAGAGAUCCGGGGAAGCUCUAGGUGGCAUGGUCAGACAGCUUUCGAUGGAUCAGUUUGACUCCACAGAGCGCCAUAACGGCUAAGAAUCUAAUGGAUAGACAAUUGUGUGUCACUAUGGUGGCUUGGAAGCCACAGAUGAUCGAAGCAGAUGACUACAUAAUGAAAUUGGCUAGACAUGCAAAGUUAUCAGAUCAUUUUAUGUUAACAAAAUUCACCAGAUGCACAUGCCGGAUGCUUAUAUGUGGGUUUGUUUGAACUUGGUUGAUUUUUUGCUUUGCCUACACUCUUUCUUACUAAGAAGAAGUGAUGAGAGUGGUAAUACUUGCUUAAUUAGUAUCUCCUUCAAUUCAUUUGCCUUCUGUAAUUUUACUCAAGUCCGUUUUUGUUGUCCAAAUAGUCAUAUAUGGGACUGUUUAUUUUGAGUUAAUUUUCGAUUACGUCUAACAUUAUUAUUGUUUACCCCAUUUUUCUUAACUGGUCUGCGUUGAAAAGCAUAUUGAUGUUCAAGGUCUGAAUGUUUGUAUCACUCUUUAUACAAAUGAUCCAUAUCUGUAGUAAUUGACAUCAAUAUCAACUGCUUGCACUAAUUUGCUUUUAUUUUAAGUAAUGUCAGACCAUUGGGUGUGUAACAGGAACAUGGUAG